This 429-nucleotide ribosomal RNA is filed under the name uncultured bacterium. RNAcentral's name for it is "bacterial SSU rRNA". It matches the Rfam family "Bacterial small subunit ribosomal RNA", at positions 28 to 457 of the family's 1533-position model. The record is from RNAcentral.
GACGAACGCUGGCGGCGUGCUUAACACAUGCAAGUCGAGCGGUAAGGCCCUUUCGGGGGUACACGAGCGGCGAACGGGUGAGUAACACGUGGGUGACCUGCCCUCAGCUCUGGGAUAAGCCUGGGAAACCGGGUCUAAUACUGGAUAUGACUCCAUGACGCAUGUUGUGGGGUGGAAAGCCUUGUGCGGCUGAGGAUGGGCCCGCGGCCUAUCAGCUUGUUGGUGGGGUGANGGCCUACCAAGGCGACGACGGGUAGCCGGCCUGAGAGGGCGACCGGCCACACUGGGACUGAGACACGGCCCAGACUCCUACGGGAGGCAGCAGUGGGGAAUUGUUCGCAAUGGGCGCAAGCCCUGACGACGCAACGCCGCGUGGAGGAUGAAGGUCUUCGGAUUGUAAACUCCUGUUGCUCGGGACGAAAAGCUUCG